AUCAGCAAGAGCCUGAACCAUGCACACCUCAGAACAAUCAUAAAGAGCCUGAUCCGGACGCAUCAGAACUAGUACAACUUUUGGACCGAAGUCAGCUUCCCAGAUUAAACCCCUCCAACGCUGCUGAUCAAGCCAAUGCAGAAGCCACUAUGAGAAAAGCACGAGUCUCAGUCCGUGCUAGAUCAGAAGCCCACAUGGUAUAGUAUAUUAGUGUGCAUCGAUAAUAGAAAUCUAAUUCAAUUAUAUCAUUGAUUACUUAUAGCUGAAUUGAUUAACUAAUUGAUCACAAUUGCAGAUCAAUGAUGGAUGCCAAUGGCGAAAAUACGGACAAAAAAUGGCUAAAGGAAACCCUUGUCCUCGUGCGUAUUAUAGAUGCACAAUGGCUCUUGGUUAAGUAUAUAUUUUGGAGUUCUUCAUUGCAGGAAGGAAGUAGAUGGAGACAUUACUUUAAUUAAGUAUAUCUUCCCAACAUAUUGUUAGUUUAGCUUGUUAAGUUCAUGUACAUUUAUACUUUUUGCUUUCCUUUUAAUGAGCCGGGCCCAUCUGUCUUUCUUCUGACUGUAUUAUUUACUUUUAGUGCAAUUUGUGUAUAGUGAUCUUAAUAUUAAUAAGAAUUUGAGAUUGAAUCAAUUGUUUGUGUUUUACUAUUGAUCUACCCAGACUUCACUAUUCAGCAACAUUUAUGCAACAAAUUUUCUGCAAUUCCAAUUAAAACUAUUAGCUACAGAUUGGCUACUAAUUAGCUUCAAAUUAAUAACAUUUAUGUAACUGAAUUUCUGCGAUUGCAACCUAAACUGUUAGCUAUAGAUUGGCUACAAAUUUGCUACUAAUUAGCUACUAAAUGAGACAAUUUUUAAGUGUUGCAAGUUUUACUCUCAAAUGUUACUGAAAUCAUUUAGUAACAUGGGCUUUACCUAACAUUUGUCAAAUGUUACAAGAUCUAAAUAGUAACAGUUGUUUUUGAUUUAGUUACAAUUUUGAAGUGUUACUAAAUCUUAUAUAUGUAGUAGUGUAAUUACAAAACAAUACAUAAUUUUAAACCAAACCUAUAUCACAAUAAACCUAAUUAUCAAUUGAAAUUCCAAUACACAUGAAUUUGAUUAAUUGAAUUGAUAUUGCAAGUAAUUGAUCCAAGUAAAAUAGUUUUAACCUAAAUCAAAUGGAUUUAGAUUAUUCUUUUGAGAAAGCACUACUUAGAUCAAAACUAGCAAUUCACUAAUCAAUUAAUCAAGUGCUAUUAAAAGCAUAUUUGUUUUCAACCAAAACCAAAGUUAUAUAUAGGUUAAAUUGCAUUUUUGGUCCCUUGACUAUUUAGGUAGUAUCAACCACCAUGAACAACAACAUCUGAUGUGGCGAUUAAAAAUUAAAAAAUGAAUUUUUAAAUUUCAAAAAUCAAUUAUAGUAUUAAAAAAUAUAUAUAUUUUAAUUAAAUUUAAAAAAAAAAAAAAAAAAAAAAAGACAUACGAGAAUGGGAGGAAUUGGGUUUCUUCACCCAUUCUUCUUCCUAUAAUCAUUUGAUUUGAUUUUUAAUCUUCAAAUCACCUAAUUCAUUUUUCGUCAUAUGAAGCAAGCAUUCAAUUUCAUGAAAAAUGGUAUCCAAGGAAAAGGUUUGGGUGAGAAACUCCAGAAGCAAUUGUUCUUAUAGAUCUGUCAUAUGAAAACGUUAUAAAUCUUCAGAAGCAAAAUCCAGAAAUACAAACCCAGAAAAGUGCUCCUAAACUCUAAAUUCCAGAAGCACGGUUGGUAUCGUAAAUCGUUCAUCUUCUUCAUAUGAAAAGUAAACCCAAAAAAGCAAUCCCUAAAUUUCUUCAACAUAAACCCAUAAAACUUUACAACAGAAACCCACAAACUUAUAGAUCUAUCAAUCAAUUCUAAUCUACAACACAAACCCAAAAAGAUAAAAGAUCUAUCAAUCAAAGUUGCAGAAUGGAUAGUGGGUUGCUGUUUUCUAGAGGGAGAAUGAAGUUGUUGGUUGUAACAACCUAUUUAAUUAUUAGAUUAUUUUAUUGAGUUUAAAGUCUAUUUUAUGUGAUUUAUAUGAUUUUUUGGUGAUGUCUUGUUGAUUUAUUAAGUGGCUUAUUUUUAUUAUUUAAUAGAAUAAGAUUUGAAAAUAAAAUAAUAUUGAGAUGAGGGGCUGUUUUGAGAAUUUAGAGAGUUUAGUGGAAUAAGUGGAAAUAAGAUAAAGAGGGUUGAGGAAAUAAAUAGGAGAAAAUAGGUCAUAAUAGUUUUCACGUAAAACAAGUUUUGGAGAAAAGGGAUAAAACAAGAGAAGAGAAGAACCAAAGAGGAGAGGCUGCCGAUCAUUAAUCAUAAGGUAAUGAUGGGACUAAUUCUGAGUAUGUGAUUCUGAAAUUGAAUUUAACAUGGUUGUAAGUUGAAGUUUUAGAAUUUGAGAAUUAGGGUUAAAAUUGGAGAAUUAAUCGAUUAGAUGAUUGAAACAUGUUGAAUUAGUAUAGAAACUGUGUACAUACCUCUUUUCACAAACACCUCUUUCAACUCACGUUGAAAAUCUUUUCUUUAUUUUUUAAUAUUAUAUUUCAAUAUAUUUUUUUCUCUUAUCAUUUUUUGUGGUUGAACAUAUUACCUGUUUAGGCAUUCAUGUGUAAUGACACUUGGCCACUUUUAUUUUGUAACCUUUGAUUAUACACAAAAAAAUUCACAUCAAUUGACAAUUCAAUUUGACAUCACUUCCUAAUUAUAUUUUUAAUAACUCAAUAUUAAUAAUUAAAAACUGAGUUUUUCUAUUUACACCCCAUGUUUUUCUGGUUACACCCAAAUUUUCUUAAAAGUUUUUUAUAAUACCAAAAUUGCCCUUUUAUAUAAAUUUUCUUAAAACCCUAAUUUUAUUCAUUGUGAGUUUCACCCUCUUUCACCCCACAAUCGAUCAAACAAUUUGAUGUUCAAUAUCAAUCUCCAUGAAAAUUAAAGAGUGAAUCAAAAUAUUUUUCAUCCAUACUCAAUUGGAUAUAAGUAAGUGAAUUUCUUCUUCUAUUUGCUAGUUUCAAUUUUUUCCCUUCAACUGCACUGAUGCACUGUACGAUUACGGUUUUAAUUUACAUUGGCAAGGUUAACUUAAAUUGAGUUUACAUGAACCUACUUAAACUGAGUUAACAUGAACCUACUUAAACUGAGUUUACAUGAACAUACUUAAACUGAGUUUACAUGAACCUACUUAAACUGAGUUUACAUGACCUACUUAAAUUUAAAUUGAGUGUACAUGACCUAACUUACAUAAACUGAGUUUACAUGAACCUACUUAAAUUAAGUUUACAUGAACCUACUUAAACUGAGUUUACAUGUGCAUUCUUAAACUGAGAUGACGUAUAAUCAUUGAAUAAGAUUGAACUUUUAGAUGUACACUUAAACUAAGUUUGCAUGAUCUACUUAAAUUAAGUUUACAUGACCUACUUAAACUUAGUUUACAUGAACCUACUUAAACUGAGUUUAAGUUGGUACACUUACUUAAAUUUAGUUUACAUGAACUCAGUCUACAUGACCUACUUAAACUCAGUUUACAUGAACCUACUUAAACUGAGAUUAAGUAUAUACACUUAAACUCAGUUUAUAUGACCUACUUCAACUUAGUUUUAGAUUAAAUUUUAUGAAAGGGUAAUCUUGUUAUUUUGGGGUGCAACUAUGAUUAACUAGGGUGCAAGUAGAAAAACUCUUAAAAACUUCACUUCCUAAUUAUGUAUAUAUUUUUUAGGGGUUCGUACUUCAUAUCAUAUAUUUGACUUCUACACAUAUCUUAUCUAAUAUUAAUUUUAAGGGUUAAUUAAGUUUUUAGUCCCUAUAAAUAUUCACAGUUUUGUUUUUAGUCCCUACAAAAUAAAAUCACAUUUUUUAGUCCCUACAAAAUAAAAUCACAUUUUUUAGUCCCUGCGACAUUUUCCUUAAGCAUUUUAGGGACCAAAAAUGUUGAUGAAAUUUUUUUAUAGGGACGAAAAAUGCUGAUGUAAAAUUUUAUAGAGACCAAAAGCACCAACCAAAAUUUUUAUAGGGACUAAAAAAUGAAAUUUAUUUUUAUAGGAACUAAAAACAAAACUGCAGAUAUUUAUAGGAACCAAAAACUUAAUUAACCUCAAUUUUAAUAAAGUACAAAACCCAACUUAUUAUAAACCACUCUUCUUAAGUGUCACCAUUCUUUAAUUCCACAUCAUCAAUAAAGUAGUAAUUUUAUUUUUCCUAUUAAGCAUUCACUUAUAUACCCACAUUGAAAUUAUCAUGCCUCAAUCAGUGUUGGUUUUUUUUUUUUUUUUACAAAUACCUCAAUCAGUGUUUAACUUGCCUCAAAUAUGAUUUCUUACAAAAAAAAAAAAAAAAAAAAACCUAAAAUAUAAAAUAAAAUCAUUUCAGUAUAUAAAAAAAACCCUCGGUGGAGAGAACUUAUGAAUAAACUAAAAAAAAUAUAUUUAGGUAAAACUACUCGAAAUUUAUAUUUUUUUUGUGGUAUCAGGGGUUUGAACCCCACUCGAAAUUUAUAUAAAAUAAAAUAAAAAAUAUCAAUUCUUAAAAUUUGUUCUAAAAUUCAAAACUUGCAUUUUCUAUACAUCAUCACUUCAUCCAAUAUCACAUUCAUUUCCAUCAUAUGAAAAGUAAAAGUCACAUGGAUAAUUACUACAAAAAAAAAAAGGAUAAUUACUACAACACACCAAUUUAUAAGGUGCGGAUGUAUUUAUUUAUUUUGUUAAAACAACAAUCAAUUGUGGAAAGCAUUUCUAAUCAUCUCUUAAGUCAAACUUGAAGAAUCUACUAUCUACCUUUAGAUCAACAGCCGACGUUGUCGUAGCAGGCUAGAGAACGACGACGGCUGUUUAGAAGAGUAGUGUACUUGCAAAUAUUUCAACCUUUAAAUUAGGUUAUGAUCAAAAGCAAUGGUAGAUCCAGGACUCUGCUCUAGGAUUUCAAACUUUUGAGUUCUUGAGCUUCUUGGGUUACUAGUGCAAGAAAAAAAUAAGGGGUUCAAAAUGCAAAAUAAUGUACUUUUAAACUUUAUCAUUUGACCCUAUAUAUAUAGGACAGAUUUUAGGGUUUCAAGGUGAAAUUCGUUGGUUUUGUUGAGUUGUAUUUGACGUGGUUUGCAGAUAAGCGUUUGGUCGCCAUCAAGUGGCACUGAUGAGAUCACUAGAGUCACUAACGUGUGCCGCUAAUACGUCAUUGUAGCUUGCUACGAGGUGAUCCGGUCCAUUAGAGUAUUGAGGUAAGGGCAAUUAAUGUAAAAAAAGGUAAUUGCAGUACAUAAACUCGAUUCCAUAAAAAAAGUGUUUCACGACAAUAAAGAAACGAUUAAAUUCGAUGAAAACUAGACUCAGAUUCCUCAAGCAAGAUCCCGAUUUCGAGUUUUGUGGAUGAAAAAAUAUAUAGUUGGGUGAGGAGAUCUCAUUACAUAUGACUAGCCAAGUUCUCUGAUAAAAAUUAGUCAUUGACAAAGCUAGUAGAUAUUUUACUUCAAUAACUUGGUCGACAAGAAAAAUUAAUUCAACGUUAUUUUAUAGAUAAUAUAAUUAAUUUAAAGUUUAUGGACCACCUAUCUUUGUUUUUUUCCUUUAUAGUCAAAAGACCGAAAUAGUAUUACAUUAAGUCGUUCUCUUUUCUUAGCAAUACUACAUUAAGUUAAUAUGUCAAAUGGUGAAUAUCAUGUAAAAACAUUAAACUAGGUAACAUCUAUUUCCUUCAGGUAAUAGACAACUAGCAAUGGUUGGUUACUUAUUAUAAAACUAACACAAUCUUAUGCGACUUAUGUUUGAUUCUAUCUAUUGACGUAGUCAUACUUUGGUCCCUCACACAUAAUUAACUUUAAAGACACAUGACGUUGCUGCUUGUAUAGUUAUAGAAAAAUUUAUUUUGCUUUGGUGCAUGGUUGAAAGUAGAUUCCUCUGUCUCGAAAACUUUCGCGUUCAUGUAGUCAAAAUACUCUUUGUUGUCCGAUUUAGAUCGGACGGUCCGAAAAUUCAGAUUUCAAUUUUUUAUAUUAUAAUUUAAAAUAACAAGUUUAAACAUUGUUCGUCCGAUCUAGAUCGAACAAUCACCGACGUCUCAAAUGUGUGAAGUCAUAAAUACAGUGGAGGCAGAUACUUUUUUUUUUGAAGAAGUUAAAUUAUUUAAAUUAGCCCACCCAAAUUGACACUAAAGAGAUUCAAACCUGAGAUCUCGAGAACCCAAUCCAAGUGGAGCCAGAUACUGAAAUUGGUAUU
This 6194-nucleotide long non-coding RNA is filed under the name Medicago truncatula (barrel medic). Its description in RNAcentral is "long non-coding RNA (MTRU_LNC003148)". The record is from RNAcentral. Lineage: Eukaryota; Viridiplantae; Streptophyta; Magnoliopsida; Fabales; Fabaceae.